This 295-nucleotide long non-coding RNA is filed under the name Lathyrus oleraceus (garden pea). RNAcentral describes it as "Pisum sativum (pea) long non-coding RNA (PSAT_LNC041893)". Lineage: Eukaryota; Viridiplantae; Streptophyta; Magnoliopsida; Fabales; Fabaceae. The record is from RNAcentral.
UGGUGUGUGGAAGGAGGUCACGGUGGAGAUUAGAUAUGUGGUUUGGAGUGUCGGCGGUGAGAGAGUUGUAGUGUUGGUAGCCGGCAAUUUGGAGAUCUGUCGGUGAAGGAGGUUUGUUGAACGAUGUUGGUUGUGGCUGCCGGCGAAGGUGGUUGCGCCGGUUGGUGGUGAAAUGUGAAAUAUGAGUCAAGUAGGUGGGAUUGUGACCUUUGAGAGCAGAGGAUAAUUUUUUCUUUUGUUUUUCUAUUCUUUUCAUCAACUAGAGAGAGAGAGAUUGAGGAAAAUCUCCUUUUUU